UCCGAAUUGGUGUAGUGGCUAACAUUUGACGCUCUCAAAUCGUCUUUCGUUUGAAAGUCUCCCUUUGAGCGGUGCCGUCAAGCCCGGGGUUCGAUUCCCCGAUUCGGAG
This is a non-coding RNA of Xylaria intraflava, 109 nucleotides long. Lineage: Eukaryota; Fungi; Ascomycota; Sordariomycetes; Xylariales; Xylariaceae. The record is from the annotation of a GenBank genome assembly.